CUGAUACUACUAAAAUAGUCAGGAAGGGUUUAAUUUAGGACUAUUUUCUGGGAAGUCUCGGUGCCGGAGUUUGCGACUACAGACAAUUAUAAUAAUAUAGUUAUUGGCGGGGAAACUCAGUCAUUUCAAUAGCGGGACACUAAGGUUCGUAUCUCAGCUUUGACACCGAUAGACUAAAAUAGAUUUUAGAUGUUAAUUCAUCUAUUUGUAUGUUUUGCCUGGAAAAAUACGGUCGCUAGUGUUUGUAUAAGAUAUGAACUGAAUGUUUUUAAUGUGUUGUUUAGGUGGAAUUGAGAGAAGAAUUCAUUCUAAAUAAUGGCGAGACAAUUUCGAUAUAAUACGGUUCCCCUUAAAUCAAGACUUCCUCCCUUUACAGUGACCGGAGGAGAUUAUUACUGUUUGGCCCGGUACAGUACUCUUGGGAAAUAUGUAGGGGAAGUUAGUACCUGCAAUUGGACAGAGAAUAUUACCACUGAUGAGACCAUGUCUAAUUUGACAGGCUGGUUGAACUCUGGGGAUUUCAAUAAGGUAAAGUGGGCCAGGGCUAACAUCUGGAGGUUGUGUGGGGGAAUAAUGGACAGGAUUAUGCUCCCUUGUACAUUUGAGAAUGCCUUUCACACUCAUUCAACACCAAGACAUGAAGUUGGCCAAACGGGAGAAAAUAAGUACUCCAUCUGGUUCUUUUAACCAGAGAGUAGAUUUUGAUAACAUUGGGGUUCUACGGGGGAUACCAGACGAGUUCAAAGCAAGAAAUCAGAUCGUAGCAGGAUUAGAGUUAAGUAUUUUCUAGUGGUCCACACUCAAAUAAGAAUGUGAACUGGAUCAAUUAUAGUUAGGAUAAUCCACAGCGCUCCGUCAAUUAUACCAGAGAUGUAAUGAAUGAAUUGGCAGAAUAUAAUUCAUCUUGGAUAAGUUUGUUGGCUGGAAAGGGUGAGAGUGGGUGUAGAUGGUUUGUUCCUCGAUGGCACAGCUCCGGGCGAAUCAGUGACCAAAGCCUCAGCUGGUUUUACCACCCUGGCUCACGGUUUGGCAGAAAACUCUGGGGUGGAUAUUUCUUUGACUAAUUGGUUUGAUAGUAUGUUUGGAAAAUGGAAAACUGUUAUGAUCCCUGUAUUAUGGGUUACCUUCAUCGGUGUGGCUGUUUUAGUUUUAUGUGGCUGUUGUCUAAUUCCCUGUGUACGAGGCCUUAUUUCCAGGACUCUGGAGAAAUUGAUGACACAACAGAUGGUGAGGUACGGGCCGAUUCCAAGUUCUGACCCGUGGAGUGAUGAAUGCAUGUCUACAGAACAAGUAGACUAAUCUGGAUUCUUCAUAUGCGAGGAAUUUAUGUUUUUAUUUAGAGCAUUUUGAUAUUUAGAGAUGUUAGGUUGUAUCUUGUUUCGAUGAAGAUUGUAACAAAAAUUCUGAUGAGAAGAGUUAUGAUUCUGAUGUUGGCCUAAAAACAGUCAGUGUGAAUGCAAGUAUUGGGUUAUGUUUGGGUGAUAUUUUGAUAACAAGAAAUAUUUCUAAUAAAAAUAGAAGUAUGCUUUUUAAUAUUUUAAUAAAACUAGAUGUGUGAUUGGAUGUAUAAUAUUUAAUCUUAGGGUGGAUAUGUUAAGGGAUUUUUUAUCAAUAAUUACUAAUUAUGUAUACAUUUCAAUCAGGACUGACUAAUCAGAAUACUAUUAUGUUACUGUAUAGAUGUAUGAAUUUUCUUUUAAUCCUAGUACUGAAUAUAAUGUGUGUAAUUAUAAUCAAGAAGUAGAACAAUGACUGUCUGUUCCUUGGUAGAAAUGAAUGAAUUUAUCGUCAGACUGGCUAGAAUGCUUAUCUACACAGGCAGACCUUGGCUCGGGUCAUAAAUUAUCUAAGUUUGGGGGAGACGGUGUGGGAAGUCUUGAGAACUAUACAGCCAUUGUACUGGAGUGGAGAUGAGAUGGGGUAGUACGAAAACUAAUGACGACAUUUUCAGUUUAUAACCUGAGGUAAACUGUAUCAUGUUCAGUACUCUCAAG
Oncorhynchus tshawytscha (Chinook salmon) is the source of this 1994-nucleotide long non-coding RNA. NCBI's taxonomy places the organism in Eukaryota, Metazoa, Chordata, Actinopteri, Salmoniformes, Salmonidae. The record is from Ensembl.